CGGAAGAUGUAACGGGGCUAAGUAGUAAACCGAAGCUGCGGCAAUGUGCUUUUGCACAUUGGGUAGGGGAGCGUUCUGUAAGCGGUUGAAGGUGUGUGGUAACGCAUGCUGGACGUAUCAGAAGUGCGAAUGCUGACAUGAGUAACGAUAAAGGGGGUGAAAAACCUCCUCGCCGGAAGACCAAGGGUUCCUGUCCAACGUUAAUCGGGGCAGGGUAAGUCGACCCCUAAGGCGAGGCCGAAAGGCGUAGUCGAUGGGAAACGGGUUAAUAUUCCCGUACUUCUUACAAUUGCGAUGGGGGGACGGAGAAGGCUAGGUGGGCCUGGCGACGGUUGUCCAGGUUCAAGUGCGUAGGCUUAAGAGUUAGGUAAAUCCGGCUCUUUUUAAGGCUGAGACACGACGUCGAGCACCUACGGGUGUGAAGUCAUUGAUGCCAUGCUUCCAGGAAAAGCCUCUAAGCUUCAGAUUGUAAGGAAUCGUACCCCAAACCGACACAGGUGGUCGGGUAGAGAAUACCAAGGCGCUUGAGAGAACUCGGGUGAAGGAACUAGGCAAAAUGGUACCGUAACUUCGGGAGAAGGUACGCUCUUGAUGGUGAAGUCCCUCGCGGAUGGAGCUGACGAGAGUCGCAGAUACCAGGUGGCUGCAACUGUUUAUUAAAAACACAGCACUGUGCAAAAUCGUAAGAUGACGUAUACGGUGUGACGCCUGCCCGGUGCCGGAAGGUUAAUUGAUGGGGUUAGACUUCGGUCGAAGCUCUUGAUCGAAGCCCCGGUAAACGGCGGCCGUAACUAUAACGGUCCUAAGGUAGCGAAAUUCCUUGUCGGGUAAGUUCCGACCUGCACGAAUGGCGUAAUGAUGGCCACGCUGUCUCCACCCGAGACUCAGUGAAAUUGAAAUCGCUGUGAAGAUGCAGUGUACCCGCGGCUAGACGGAAAGACCCCGUGAACCUUUACUACAGCUUGGCACUGAACAUUGACCCUACAUGUGUAGGAUAGGUGGGAGGCUUUGAAGACGGUACGCCAGUAUCGU
Molecule: ribosomal RNA, 1032 nt
Filed under: Vibrio parahaemolyticus
Lineage: Bacteria; Pseudomonadati; Pseudomonadota; Gammaproteobacteria; Vibrionales; Vibrionaceae
Description: partial 23S ribosomal RNA
Rfam family: Bacterial large subunit ribosomal RNA
Source: RNAcentral